UGGGGAAUAUUGGACAAUGGGCGAAAGCCUGAUCCAGCCAUGCCGCGUGUGUGAAGAAGGUCUUCGGAUUGUAAAGCACUUUAAGUUGGGAGGAAGGGCAUUAACCUAAUACGUUAGUGUUUUGACGUUACCGACAGAAUAAGCACCGGCUAACUCUGGUCCAGCAGCCGCGGUAAUACAGAGGGUGCAAGCGUUAAUCGGAAUUACUGGGCGUAAAGCGCGCGUAGGUGGUUUGUUAAGUUGGAUGUGAAAUCCCCGGGCUCAACCUGGGAACUGCAUUCAAAACUGACUGACUAGAGUAUGGUAGAGGGUGGUGGAAUUUCCUGUGUAGCGGUGAAAUGCGUAGAUAUAGGAAGGAACACCAGUGGCGAAGGCGACCACCUGGACUAAUACUGACACUGAGGUGCGAAAGCGUGGGGAGCAAACA
RNAcentral lists this ribosomal RNA (427 nucleotides) under uncultured bacterium. RNAcentral describes it as "partial 16S ribosomal RNA". It matches the Rfam family "Bacterial small subunit ribosomal RNA", at positions 355 to 774 of the family's 1533-position model. The record is from RNAcentral.